CAAGUAAGACAGACAAUCGCGGCUGACACAUGUCAGGUGAGGAAAGUCCGGGCUUCACAGGGCAGGAUGCCGGAUAACGUCCGGUGGAGGCGACUCCAAGGCCAGUGCAACAGAAAUAAACCGCCGGUCCCUCCGGGGCCGGUAAGGGUGGAAAGGCAGUGUAAGAGACUACCGCCCGGCUGGUAACAGACGGGGCACAUGUAAACCCCAUCCGAAGCAAGACCAAGCAGAAGCAUAUGGUGGCCCGCCAGCUUCAGGUAGGUCGCUUGAGCGUGCCGGCGACGGCACGCCUAGAUAGAUGAUUGUCCAACGACAUAACCCGGCUUAUCGUCUUGCUUGCGCC
RNAcentral lists this RNase P RNA (343 nucleotides) under Eubacteriales bacterium. RNAcentral describes it as "RNase P RNA component class A". It matches the Rfam family "Bacterial RNase P class A". From Rfam's summary of the family: Ribonuclease P (RNase P) is a ubiquitous endoribonuclease, found in archaea, bacteria and eukarya as well as chloroplasts and mitochondria. Lineage: Bacteria; Bacillati; Bacillota; Clostridia; Eubacteriales. The record is from RNAcentral.